UACGGAGGGUGCGAGCGUUGUCCGGAAUCAUUGGGCGUAAAGGGCGCGUAGGUGGCGGGACAAGCGUGCGGUGAAAGCUCGGGGCUCAACCCCGAGUCGGCCGUGCGAACUGUCUUGCUUGAGCACUGUAGAGGCAGGCGGAAUUCCGGGUGUAGCGGUGGAAUGCGUAGAGAUCGGAAAGAACACCAAGGGCGAAGGCACUCUGCUGGACCGACACUGACACUGAGAGACGAGAGCUAGGGGAGCAAAUGGG
RNAcentral lists this ribosomal RNA (253 nucleotides) under uncultured bacterium. Its description in RNAcentral is "partial 16S ribosomal RNA". It matches the Rfam family "Bacterial small subunit ribosomal RNA", at positions 524 to 776 of the family's 1533-position model. The record is from RNAcentral.